GCUCUUGUAGCUCAGUUGGUUAGAGCACUCGUUUAGUAAGCGGGAGGUCUUGAGUUCGAUUCUCAACAAGAGCU
This is a transfer RNA of Ipomoea nil (Japanese morning glory), 74 nucleotides long. It matches the Rfam family "tRNA". Rfam says of the family: Transfer RNA (tRNA) molecules are approximately 80 nucleotides in length. Their secondary structure includes four short double-helical elements and three loops (D, anti-codon, and T loops). Further hydrogen bonds mediate the characteristic L-shaped molecular structure. tRNAs have two regions of fundamental functional importance: the anti-codon, which is responsible for specific mRNA codon recognition, and the 3' end, to which the tRNAs corresponding amino acid is attached (by aminoacyl-tRNA synthetases). tRNAs cope with the degeneracy of the genetic code in two manners: having more than one tRNA (with a specific anti-codon) for a particular amino acid; and 'wobble' base-pairing, i.e. permitting non-standard base-pairing at the 3rd anti-codon position. The record is from Rfam. Lineage: Eukaryota; Viridiplantae; Streptophyta; Magnoliopsida; Solanales; Convolvulaceae.